RNAcentral lists this ribosomal RNA (377 nucleotides) under uncultured bacterium. Its description in RNAcentral is "partial 16S ribosomal RNA". It matches the Rfam family "Bacterial small subunit ribosomal RNA", at positions 355 to 724 of the family's 1533-position model. The record is from RNAcentral.
UGGGGAAUAUUGCACAAUGGGCGCAAGCCUGAUGCAGCCAUGCCGCGUGUAUGAAGAAGGCCUUCGGGUUGUAAAGUACUUUCAGCGGGGAGGAAGGUGUUGUGGUUAAUAACCACAGCAAUUGACGUUACCCGCAGAAGAAGCACCGGCUAACUCCGUGCCAGCAGCCGCGGUAAUACGGAGGGUGCAAGCGUUAAUCGGAAUUACUGGGCGUAAAGCGCACGCAGGCGGUCUGUCAAGUCGGAUGUGAAAUCCCCGGGCUCAACCUGGGAACUGCAUCCGAAACUGGCAGGCUUGAGUCUUGUAGAGGGGGGUAGAAUUCCAGGUGUAGCGGUGAAAUGCGUAGAGAUCUGGAGGAAUACCGGUGGUGAAGGCGG